GACGAACGCUGGCGGCCUGCUUAACACAUGCAAGUCGAACGAUGAUGCCCAGCUUGCUGGGUGGAUUAGUGGCGAACGGGUGAGUAACACGUGAGUAACCUGCCCCUGACUCUGGGAUAAGCGUUGGAAACGACGUCUAAUACUGGAUAUGACUGCCGGCCGCAUGGUCUGGUGGUGGAAAGAUUUUUUGGCUGGGGAUGGACUCGCGGCCUACCAGCUUGUUGGUGAGGUAAUGGCUCACCAAGGCGACGACGGGUAGCCGGCCUGAGAGGGUGACCGGCCACACUGGGACUGAGACACGGCCCAGACUCCUACGGGAGGCAGCAGUGGGGAAUAUUGCACAAUGGGCGAAAGCCUGAUGCAGCAACGCCGCGUGAGGGAUGACGGCCUUCGGGUUGUAAACCUCUUUUAGUAGGGAAGAAGCGAAAGUGACGGUACCUGCAGAAAAAGCACCGGCUAACUACGUGCCAGCAGCCGCCGUAA
This 483-nucleotide ribosomal RNA is filed under the name uncultured bacterium. RNAcentral describes it as "partial 16S ribosomal RNA". It matches the Rfam family "Bacterial small subunit ribosomal RNA", at positions 28 to 523 of the family's 1533-position model. The record is from RNAcentral.